Molecule: transfer RNA, 70 nt
Filed under: Dipodomys ordii (Ord's kangaroo rat)
Lineage: Eukaryota; Metazoa; Chordata; Mammalia; Rodentia; Heteromyidae
Rfam family: tRNA
About the family: Transfer RNA (tRNA) molecules are approximately 80 nucleotides in length.
Source: Rfam by way of RNAcentral
GGGAAUAUAGUUUAAUGGUACAGUGCUUGCCUAGCAUGCAUGAGGCCCUGAGUUCAAUUCCUCAGUACCA